CAGUCUCAGGAAGCACGAGCAGGGCUGGCUUCGUCCCAACUCCCAACGGCAGUCGGCUGCGGAUACUGAUUCCUUCCACCCAUGGUGGGUCACCACCGCCCCGGCCGGCCACACGGUUCGGUUUCGAGAUCAGAGAAAGCGAAAAGACUGGCAGGCCAUGAGCGAGGCAUGCAUUGCACAGCCUAAAGAAAGAGCGGGGCGUGCACGCCGGAGGCAGCGGCGGAGGCGACAGAAAUGGGAACGGAGAGCAGCAGGUACAGCCAGCGGUGGAGCGGAUGGUGUGGCCGCUGUGGAUCGGGUAGGGUAGGGUAGGACGCUUAGGAGCAGGACCACCGGCGCCGAGGGCAGCGAUCCCGAGACGAGGAGAAGCAGGCGAACUCGCAUGGCGGGCGCACACACGAGCGAGACUGCGAGAGAGCUCGGUCGGCCAUCGAUCCAUCGUCUGAAAUGGAUCGAAAAAGGGGGGCCGGGCGGGCACGCCAGUCGUUACCAGCGCCUCUUUUGCUUCUUUCGGUCGAUGCAUGCCCCCGCCUCCGCCUCGGCGUCCGGUGAGAUCCUUGCUUUCUUCCUCGCCGCCCUUUUCCUCUUUUUUUUUUCUGCUUUCCGCCCUUCCCGACAGACUAUCCUGUGUGUGCCAUGUUCUGACGAGGUUCACAAGUCCAUCUGCCUCCGGAACAGCACGAGGAGAGACGCUGCUGCCUGCUGCUGGUCGGCCCGCUUACUCGCUUCUUCUCUCAUCUAGCACGCUUGAUCUGCUGAUCAUACACCAGCUUGCCAUGAACUCGGAGCAAACCUAGCUUCUUUGGAGUUCCGUUCAGACGCGUUCAGCUCAACGCGACCUGAAUUUUCGCAUUCAGAGUCUCAGACGGAUGCGUAUCCGAUACAUGCAGCAUUCAGGUAGCCCUGUUUAGGCGAGGCGAGCGAGACACGCUCGUCUUUACAGGUCCCUGCCAAUGAUCGCCGCACGCCGGCGUGCUGCUAAGCGCCGACGCUGGCGCGUCGUGCUUGUGGCUGUCAUGUGCCCAAAGGAGGACAGGAUCGUACUAUGCAAGACCGAGGAAGCGAAAAAAAGGAAAACCGAUCGGCUGAACGGGGAAGCAGCAGAUCCGAGGAACCAGAGCAGGAACAGCAUCAUUGCCAUCAAAAUGCGUGUGAUCGACGUUGGAUUUCGCACGAUGUGGAGUAUAGAGACAGCGGUCGACGAUGAAGGUGAAGGUCAUACAGUUUCAUGCCGAUGGAUCAAAAGCGGUGAAGGAUGAGUGUUGGGCCUUGACUGAGGGACUAAAGAAAUUGGAUGACCAAUCAUGGUGACUGAUACCUGAGGACAUCAACAAGCACUGGCACAUUGUUGCCAAUGCGAUUGAGGAUCGGCAAAACAUCUGUCUAGGAUAUGGGAGAUAUGUAUGGAGUACGCUACCUAUGGAGAUUUGGUGGUUGAGCUUCGAAACCACCCUACGACAGUUUUAUGGGCCUAGCCUCAAUAUGUAGUGAUGUGGUUUCAAUGGGCAUCAGAGGCAGUACAUAGGGCCAUUGUAAAGGUUGUGUCAUGGCAAAACAACUUCGUGAAGAGAGUGUGGUCGUUAGACCGUCAAAAUGAGAGUUUGUCUAUUUUGAUCCUAAUUGAGUGGAUAAGGUUUAUGUAUCUAAGGGUAUAUUGUGUGAAAAAUAUCAUCUAUAAAUAGGAAGGGUUGCACCAACCAGCCAUCUAUCUAGCUUUUUAGA
Zea mays is the source of this 1722-nucleotide long non-coding RNA. RefSeq lists it as uncharacterized. Lineage: Eukaryota; Viridiplantae; Streptophyta; Magnoliopsida; Poales; Poaceae. The record is from RefSeq and is a predicted model, not a curated record. The transcript has 2 exons.